Molecule: transfer RNA, 74 nt
Filed under: Trichonephila clavata
Lineage: Eukaryota; Metazoa; Arthropoda; Arachnida; Araneae; Nephilidae
Description: tRNA-Thr
Rfam family: tRNA
About the family: Transfer RNA (tRNA) molecules are approximately 80 nucleotides in length. Their secondary structure includes four short double-helical elements and three loops (D, anti-codon, and T loops). Further hydrogen bonds mediate the characteristic L-shaped molecular structure. tRNAs have two regions of fundamental functional importance: the anti-codon, which is responsible for specific mRNA codon recognition, and the 3' end, to which the tRNAs corresponding amino acid is attached (by aminoacyl-tRNA synthetases). tRNAs cope with the degeneracy of the genetic code in two manners: having more than one tRNA (with a specific anti-codon) for a particular amino acid; and 'wobble' base-pairing, i.e. permitting non-standard base-pairing at the 3rd anti-codon position.
Source: RNAcentral
GCCAGUAUGGUGGUUGAUUACAAGCCACUCGGUUUGUAAUCGAGUGGGCUCGGGUUCGAAUCCCGAAUAAGGCA